Small nucleolar RNA from Molossus molossus (Pallas's mastiff bat), 143 nucleotides. RefSeq annotates it as small nucleolar RNA SNORD97. The record is from RefSeq and is a predicted model, not a curated record. Lineage: Eukaryota; Metazoa; Chordata; Mammalia; Chiroptera; Molossidae. The transcript has a single exon.
UUGCCCGAUGAUUAUAAAAAGACGCGUUGUUAAGAGGACUUCAUGCUGGAGUUCUUUACCUUCUUUCUCUCUUUUCUGUACUACUUUUUCUUUCUUUUGAUGUCCAGCGUCCUGUGAGCGAAGAUUAUGAGAUAUGAGGGCAA